CCUACGGGUGGCAGCAGUGAGGAAUAUUGGUCAAUGGACGAGAGUCUGAACCAGCCAAGUCGCGUGAAGGAUGACUGCCCUCGGGUUUUUAAACUUCUUUUAUAAAGGAAUAAAACGAGGCGCGUGUGCCUUUUUGCAUUUACUUUAUGAAUAAGGAUCGGCUAACUCCGUGCCAGCAGCCGCGGUAAUACGGAGGAUCCGAGCGUUAUCCGGAUUUAGUGGGUUUAAAGGGAGCGUAGAUGGGUUGGUAAGUCAGUUGUGAAAGUUUUCGGCUCAACCUGAAAAUUGCAAUUGAAACUGGCAGGCUUGAGUACAGGUGAGGUAGGCGGAAUUCGUGGUGUAGCGGUGAAAUGCGUAGAUAUCACGAAGAACACCGAUUGCGAAGGCAGCUUACUAAACUGAGACUGACAUUGAGGCACGAAAGUGUGGGUAUCAAACAGGAUUAGAUACCCCAGUAGUC
Molecule: ribosomal RNA, 460 nt
Filed under: uncultured bacterium
Lineage: Bacteria
Description: partial 16S ribosomal RNA
Rfam family: Bacterial small subunit ribosomal RNA
Source: RNAcentral